UUUCGGACAGUUUUUCCUCAGAUAAAGAAGUGAGAAACAAAAUGAGCAGUGUAAUUCAAGUCUCUCUUACUCCAGGCUCAUGGUUGUCCAAGGUACCCAAUUCUUGGCCUACUCUGCAAAUCAUGUCUUCGUGCCAAUAGAGGAGGGGUAAAACUUUGAUUUUGAUCCAGAAAGGAUUCAUGGAGGGAAAAGAGGGGGAGAUGAUCGGUUCCCACCACUGGAGGAUGACCAUCCAGUAGGAGAAAUGAUCUGAACCGACAGCUCUACCUUAAAAAUUCCAUUUGCACGGAAGAGGUGGAAUGAGAGCUCACAUCUUCUGUUCAUGUGGUUUAGUGAGCCUUCCUAUAAGGGAGCCAUUGAAACCAAAAAUGAAGUACGUUUCCAACCGGUCUGCAAGUAGUGGCAAGAAAAAACCUUGCUGGAGGAGUUACUAGUCGACUCCUUGCAGAUUUGCUUGCUGAUGUCACUGAAACGAAGUGGAAAGCAAA
Brassica oleracea var. oleracea is the source of this 488-nucleotide long non-coding RNA. RefSeq lists it as uncharacterized. Lineage: Eukaryota; Viridiplantae; Streptophyta; Magnoliopsida; Brassicales; Brassicaceae. The record is from RefSeq and is a predicted model, not a curated record. The transcript has 4 exons.